Long non-coding RNA from Rosa chinensis, 1081 nucleotides. RefSeq lists it as uncharacterized. The transcript is spliced from 9 exons. NCBI's taxonomy places the organism in Eukaryota, Viridiplantae, Streptophyta, Magnoliopsida, Rosales, Rosaceae. The record is from RefSeq and is a predicted model, not a curated record.
UUAAGUUCAACCUCCGUCCCAAAAGUGAUACCCCAACUGUAUUUUUUAAUUUGGACUUUCCAUUGAAUAUUGGGUGGCUGUGGCCAAAUUGAUACAAACGAGAUUUCUUUCAUUUUUCCUUGUUUAAUUAAAUAAAACUUUUUAUUCUAAUCCGUCUCCAAAAUGGUUCAAGUCUCAGACCGAGUAUCUAGACCUGUCUUCUUCUUCUCUCUCUAACUCUGCUAUUUUCGAUCUUCAUCUAUUCGAUGGCCGCUCCGAGUCGGAGCCUCCGACCACAACGACCACACCCACCUCUCUUAUCCCCUAUCUAAUCAUUUCAUCUUUUGCCAGUCACUCAUCCUUGUAAAAAGCUGUUUCUCACUCUCUCUUGAAGCCUCUCAAUCUGGAUCUGGCAUAUUGCUGGACCAUCAACCAUCGUCUUCUCUUUUUCCUGCACUUUCCCUCACACUUUCAGAUUGACUUUCCAUGCCGAGUUCAGUCCCUCUGAUAUCUAUUUAGAUCGCCAUGGAUUCUUCUUUUCAAAACCAAACAAGGCUACUUUUCUACUGUCAUCGCACAGAGUCGGUAUUCAAGAUUAUGAAUUUCCUGAAGCCAAGGUGAUUCUUUUAUUUCUCCAGGAGCAAAGCUCCACUUAAUCCCCCUUGCCUUGCCGUACCACUUUCAAAAAAUAGCUCAGGUGCUGUAACUGCAUAGCUCUGGUGGCCUACAGCUCCGCCAGGUAUGGAUAUACUGGUAGUUGGGGUCAAGAAGCAUGGGGUGUGGCUUUUAGCAAAAAAUAACAUUGAUAAAUCCCUCUGGUGAAAUGUCCUAUGCUAGGUUAAGUGAAAAAACUGAAUUUGAUGCAAGGGGGAAGUUACAGUAGUACGUAAGGAGCUUAUAUUGUGUGCAUUGAUUGAAAGAGGAACCACAGACAAUGAAAGGAAGGCAUUGAAGACCACCAGCUCUCCACUAGUUAGAGUUUCCAAAGUUAGUGAUAGGUAAACAAUUUUUGUUUUGUCUAAGUGUUUUGACUUUUAGCUGUGAGAGACUGAGGAAUUUAUAAUAUACUUGUUUCUUUUCCUCUGACGUAUAUGUUGAUUAA